This 872-nucleotide ribosomal RNA is filed under the name uncultured Bacillota bacterium. Its description in RNAcentral is "bacterial SSU rRNA". It matches the Rfam family "Bacterial small subunit ribosomal RNA", at positions 553 to 1425 of the family's 1533-position model. The record is from RNAcentral. Lineage: Bacteria; Bacillati; Bacillota.
AUUGGGCGUAAAGCGAGCGCAGGCGGUUUUUUAAGUCUGAUGUGAAAGCCCUCGGCUUAACCGAGGAAGUGCAUCGGAAACUGGGAAACUUGAGUGCAGAAAAGGACAGUGGAACUCCAUGUGUAGUGGUGAAAUGCGUAGAUAUAUGGAAGAACACCAGUGGCGAAGGCGGCUGUCUGGUCUGUAACUGACGCUGAGGCUCGAAAGCAUGGGUAGCGAACAGGAUUAGAUACCCUGGUAGUCCAUGCCGUAAACGAUGAAUGCUAGGUGUUGGAGGGUUUCCGCCCUUCAGUGCCGCAGCUAACGCAUUAAGCAUUCCGCCUGGGGAGUACGACCGCAAGGUUGAAACUCAAAGGAAUUGACGGGGGCCCGCACAAGCGGUGGAGCAUGUGGUUUAAUUCGAAGCAACGCGAAGAACCUUACCAGGUCUUGACAUCUUUUGAUCACCUGAGAGAUCAGGUUUCCCCUUCGGGGGCAAAAUGACAGGUGGUGCAUGGUUGUCGUCAGCUCGUGUCGUGAGAUGUUGGGUUAAGUCCCGCAACGAGCGCAACCCUUAUGACUAGUUGCCAGCAUUUAGUUGGGCACUCUAGUAAGACUGCCGGUGACAAACCGGAGGAAGGUGGGGAUGACGUCAAAUCAUCAUGCCCCUUAUGACCUGGGCUACACACGUGCUACAAUGGAUGGUACAACGAGUUGCGAGACCGCGAGGUCAAGCUAAUCUCUUAAAGCCAUUCUCAGUUCGGACUGUAGGCUGCAACUCGCCUACACGAAGUCGGAAUCGCUAGUAAUCGCGGAUCAGCACGCCGCGGUGAAUACGUUCCCGGGCCUUGUACACACCGCCCGUCACACCAUGAGAGUUUGUAACACCCGAA